Molecule: non-coding RNA, 1581 nt
Organism: Trichomonas vaginalis G3
Lineage: Eukaryota; Parabasalia; Trichomonadida; Trichomonadidae
Source: Rfam
UACUUGGUUGAUCCUGCCAAGGAAGCACACUUAGGUCAUAGAUUAAGCCAUGCAAGUGUUAGUUCAGGUAACGAAACUGCGAAUAGCUCAUUAAUACGCUCAGAAUCUAUUUGGCGGCGACCAACAGGUCUUAAAUGGAUAGCAGCAGCAACUCUGGUGCUAAUACAUGCGAUUGUUUCUCCAGAUGUGAAUUAUGGAGGAAAAGUUGACCUCAUCAGAGGCACGCCAUUCGACUGAGUGACCUAUCAGCUUGUACUUAGGGUCUUUACCUAGGUAGGCUAUCACGGGUAACGGGCGGUUACCGUCGGACUGCCGGAGAAGGCGCCUGAGAGAUAGCGACUAUAUCCACGGGUAGCAGCAGGCGCGAAACUUUCCCACUCGAGACUUUCGGAGGAGGUAAUGACCAGUUCCAUUGGUGCCUUUUGGUACUGUGGAUAGGGGUACGGUUUUCCACCGUACCGAAACCUAGCAGAGGGCCAGUCUGGUGCCAGCAGCUGCGGUAAUUCCAGCUCUGCGAGUUUGCUCCCAUAUUGUUGCAGUUAAAACGCCCGUAGUCUGAAUUGGCCAGCAAUGGUCGUACGUAUUUUUACGUUCACUGUGAACAAAUCAGGACGCUUAGAGUAUGGCCACAUGAAUGACUCAGCGCAGUAUGAAGUCUUUGUUUUCUUCCGAAAACAAGCUCAAUGAGAGCCAUCGGGGGUAGAUCUAUCUCAUGACGAGUGGUGGAAUACUUUGACUCAUGAGAGAGAAGCUGAGGCGAAGGCGUCUACCUAGAGGGUUUCUGUCGAUCAAGGGCGAGAGUAGGAGUAUCCAACAGGAUUAGAGACCCUGGUAGUUCCUACCUUAAACGAUGCCGACAGGAGUUUGUCAUUUGUUAAUGGCAGAAUCUUUGGAGAAAUCAUAGUUCUUGGGCUCUGGGGGAACUACGACCGCAAGGCUGAAACUUGAAGGAAUUGACGGAAGGGCACACCAGGGGUGGAGCCUGUGGCUUAAUUUGAAUCAACACGGGGAAACUUACCAGGACCAGAUGUUUUUUAUGACUGACAGGCUUCGGGUCUUUCAGGAUAUUGUUUUUGGUGGUGCAUGGCCGUUGGUGGUGCGUGGGUUGACCUGUCUAGCGUUGAUUCAGCUAACGAGCGAGAUUAUCGCCAAUUAUUUACUUUGCCGAAGUCCUUCGGUUAAAGUUCUAAUUGGGACUCCCUGCGAUUUUAGCAGGUGGAAGAGGGUAGCAAUAACAGGUCCGUGAUGCCCUUUAGAUGCUCUGGGCUGCACGCGUGCUACAAUGUUAGGAUCAAUAGGACUGCGAGCCUGAGAGGGUGCGCUACUCUUAUAAUCCCUAACGUAGUUGGGAUUGACGUUUGUAAUCAGCGUCAUGAACCAGGAAUCCCUUGUAAAUGUGUGUCAACAACGCACGUUGAAUACGUCCCUGCCCUUUGUACACACCGCCCGUCGCUCCUACCGAUUGGAUGACUCGGUGAAAUCACCGGAUGCUUACGAGCAGAAAGUGAUUAAAUCACGUUAUCUAGAGGAAGGAGAAGUCGUAACAAGGUAACGGUAGGUGAACCUGCCGUUGGAUCAGUU